This is a long non-coding RNA of Corapipo altera (White-ruffed manakin), 2175 nucleotides long. RefSeq lists it as uncharacterized. The transcript has 4 exons. The record is from RefSeq and is a predicted model, not a curated record. Lineage: Eukaryota; Metazoa; Chordata; Aves; Passeriformes; Pipridae.
AACACCCAGCAGUGGCAGAGUCAGCUGUUGUCAGCAGUCCUGAUCCAGAUCGAGGGGAGGUAGUCAAAGCCUUCAUUGUUUUAACUCCUGCUUUUGCAUCACACGAUCCAGAAAAAUUAACUCAAGAGCUUCAACAGCAUGUCAAGAAAGUGACUGCACCUUACAAGUAUCCAAGGAAGGUGGAGUUUGUUCAGGAUCUGCCAAAGACGGUUAGUGGGAAAAUCCAGAGAAAGGUCCUAAGGAACAGAGAGUGGGGGAGAGAAUGACAAGGGCAAGAGUGAUCUGGAAAACGAGGAGAGAAGUGUUCCAUCACUGGUACCAGCCAUAACACAUCAAAUUUGGCAUGUGGUCAUGACCCAGAGAACUAGGAGAACAUCUAGAAAAAACAAGCUAUGGAAGAAAAAGGAGAAAACACUCAUAUGGUUUGAGGAUGUGUGGUAUUGGAACGUCUUUUGCCAUUGACCUAAAAAUUUUCAGAAGACAGAAGUUGCAAAUAAUUAAGAGUAUGGAAUGGGAGAGAGAAAGGACACACCCAGGAGCCUACAAAGGAUUGUUUUUAUUUAAAAAGUGUAACUACAAUACUUUGAUACAUAUAAAUAAAAGAGAAAAUAAUAAAAUAGUCUUUGUCCUGCUUUGUCCAGUAGUGGGUACCAGCAGAGCAUUGAUACAUUAUCUUCAAAGAAUAUAUCUUCACUGUAAUAUUUCCAAAUUCUUUCUGAGUGGAAAGAGAAAGACACUGAUAAAUUUCUGUUCUACUUGAAUGGUUAAAGUGGAGGUAAAAGAAGAUCCAAAGUGCUUCAGGUUAAGGUGCAAAUUAUGCACAAUUAACAAGGGUGUCAAUGAUUACAAGAAAAAGGUUACUUCAUGGAAAGACUUUUGCUGCUUGAUCUGUUUUCUUUUACGUUCUGUUCUCAUUACUUCAGACGAAGCAAACAAUAAAGUAGGAAGGGUUUCACUCCAAAUCCUUUUUGACAGAGAGUCAGGGUUUCACGUCUCCAGGUGAGCGUCUCUUUUGGGAAAUAUGUGGUGAAAACCAAGCAAACUGAACGAAGAGGAUCUGCCCCAGCCAGCUCUCAAGCUCUCCUGUCCACAGCAGACAGGUCAGGAAAAUGUUGUUUGUCUGAAUUCCUCGUGUUAAUGAUCAUUGAGCAGAAGCAGAUGGUACUAAACCAAGAAUAAUAAUUCCUGAUUCUUGUAGUUAUUCAAAGGACUUUGCCAUUACUGGGUCUUUUUUUUUUACUUCAUUUUCACCUCCAGGUUUGCAGAGUUUGGGAAUAUUUCAAAUAGGAUUUUUCACCAGUCAAACUUUUUUAAAAGAAUUUUUCUCCACCAAGUCCUCUUAAUAGUGUUCUGCUUUAAAGUUUAAGUACUCUCUAAAGAACUUUUUGUUAUUUAAUCCUGAUGCUGAAGUGAGUGGCACUUAGGGACAUAAUAACACUUAAUUUUAUAUCCAGGUCCUAAGACUCUUUCUCAGCAGCAGAUGAUAUGCUAUAGGAUUGUUUACAGCUGGUCAGUGUUUCUCUGCCACAAUCUCCAUGGAACACGGAGAACACCAGGAAUUCGUCUUUACCCUUGGUUUUGACUAAGUAUCUGUUCUGGGGGGAAAUCUGCAUCCAGAUUUUUUAUGCUGUCAGACAUGGCUGAAAAAAUUAAGAUGUGUUAAGUUCUAUGUAUUUGAAUUAAUUUGCCUGAUAGGCAGAUUAAAUCUUACUGUAAAAGCUUCUGCAGAGGAAUAAGGAAAUCAUUCCAAUGUUAAAGAAGUUACUUUUUCUUGAGGAAUAAAACUUGAUCAAGACUGAAAUCCAUUCAUCAGAGAUGUGAUGACAAAUGGUUAGGUUGAAGACAUGGGAUGAGGGGACUAUAAAAUGUACUAAAAAACCUGGGACAAAGGCAAAACUUUGCAGAUUCACUCAGGCCACAGAAAUUCUGCAUCAAAAAGAAUUUGAUUAAGAUUUUACAUGUAAUUUUGUUGAUAGUUUGUGGAUAGUUUCAUCCUUUGUAAGAACAGAAAUGAAAAUUACCCUGUAUUUCAAGAAUCACUCACUCUAAACCUUGUAUUGAGUUUAGUAACUAAUUGAGUUUAGUGGUUGAAAAAGGCAAAUUGAUAGUUGGACUUAGGUUCUGAAAUCAUGAGAGGCCUCCAGGACUCCCCUGGCUCCUGCUCUGACUGUGGGC